Long non-coding RNA from Ornithodoros turicata, 670 nucleotides. RefSeq lists it as uncharacterized. NCBI's taxonomy places the organism in Eukaryota, Metazoa, Arthropoda, Arachnida, Ixodida, Argasidae. The record is from RefSeq and is a predicted model, not a curated record. The transcript is spliced from 3 exons.
GUUGCGUCCAUUGCCAUUGGCAGCCGUAAGCACGUUACUUCUCGUGCGUUGACUCACUGGCAGCGGUGUGCGCUGUGAUUAACUUGCUAGCAAAAUUGAAUGGUGAAAUAAGGAGCCUCAACGCGGAGCAAGGCCGCAGCAACCAUGGAGGAUCUCUAGAGCUCGGCUGUCAUCAUAAGCUGGCCUCGUUAAAGGAGCACUGGAGACACCCCGAACACAUUUCUUUUAUUUUUUUACCGAGUGAUGCGGGCAUACUACUUGCAGAAGCUGUCACGCACACAAAGGGACAGAAAACACAACUGAGGACCUCUUCGACUGUGGAAACUAUCCAAGCUCCAAGCCCAAGUCUUCUCAAUCAGCACAUCGUGAUGAUGAUGAUGAUGGCCCAAUAUUGGACCAGUGCUGCUAAUUUCAUCUUGGCACAACAUUGGAACAUAAUUGACAAGUUCCAGCCAAUAUUGGGUCAAGGUGCGUUGUACUGCUUGGGUUCUGACCCCAAGAAUUUUGCUUGACCUCCGCGCGCCCUCUCAAAAGCAAAGCGUGAUAUGCAUUGUCUUAUCUCGUGGGCAACUUGGCAAGCGUCACACCGACAUCUCUUCUACCUUGCAACGUCACAAUGCCGCUACCUUUCCCUUCUUUUGUGAGCAGUGCUGUCGACAACGUGGAACAA